GACGAACGCUGGCGGCGUGCUUAACACAUGCAAGUCGAACGAAAACGCCCUGCUUAUUGGCGCUCCUCUGGUUGCGAACGGGUGAGUUACCCUUGAGUACCCUGCACCUCACUGUGGGGUAACCUCAUAAAACUUGGGCUCAUAGCAGCUAAGAGUUCUCGCCGCUGGGUGGGGGUUCGUAAGAUUCGGCGGUUGGUGAUGGACUAGCGGCUUAUCGGCUUGUUGGUGGGGUAGUGGCAUACCAUGGCCUUGACGGGUAGGCGGCCUGAGAGGGUGACCGGCCACAUUAGGACUGAGAUACGGCCCAGACUCCUACGGGAGGCAGCAGUGGAGAAUAGUGUACAAUGGGCGGAAGCCUGAUGCAGCAACGCCGCGUGCGGGAUGACGGCCUUCGGGUUGUAAACCGCUUUCGCCUGUGACGAAGCGUGAGUGACGGUAAUGGGUAAAGAAGCACCGGCUAACUACGUG
RNAcentral lists this ribosomal RNA (468 nucleotides) under uncultured bacterium. Its description in RNAcentral is "partial 16S ribosomal RNA". It matches the Rfam family "Bacterial small subunit ribosomal RNA", at positions 28 to 507 of the family's 1533-position model. The record is from RNAcentral.